CAGAAAAUACAGAGAAACUCUGCAUUUCUUUUGUUCAAAUUUGAGGGAAAUUGUCCUUUUUUUUCAUUGUUGGUAAUAACUCAAACAAUUUCGAAAGAUUUCUCUUCAUUUAGGUUCAAAAAUGGCUUAAGGAAGUUGUGAAUGGAAGUGUUGAAGUGCUGACUUACUGCUGUUAUUGAAUCUCUCACUUUUCCUAAUUCCUAAACUCAUUUUCAUUUGUUAUUGAUUAUUGUAUUCGGGUACUACGAUGAAACCUUGAGCAUCAAGUUUAAAUGUUGAAGAUGUGAACGAUUCAGAUUGAUUCCCAUGUGUACUCAUUGGUUUAUUUCUUUUAAGAUUGUAACUUUCUUUCUAUAUGUUUCUUACAAGUUUACAAGCAAGACCAUUGUAUUUCUUGAUAGAAAACUUUUGGUAGCAUGGUAAGUGAUGGUUUGGUAGUGUUUGACAGAAAACUCUAUUAUAGAUAAAAUUAUUACCAGUUAUUUUGAGUUUGAAUUUAGACGACAAGGAGUUGUCGACUAUUUUAGCAUGACAUAAUCAGCCAGGGUUUUCCUUCUUCAUCUCUUUAUCAAUUCUGUUUAAAGUUUAAGGCAUGGACCUUCAUUUCAUUAGUGAGUUACAAUAUGGAAAGAAUAGAUCGUGUGUGUAUUUAUAUCAUUUCCAUGAGUUAUUGUGGUUUUGUUGAAUCUUUGCAAGUAUGGUUUUGGAUUUGAAUUUAGUUUAGAUUGGUCAAUAUCUGCCCGAAAAUUCUGCCUCUGUUUAACAUGUGAAGUCCUGAGCAUUAUAACGUCUUCUAAAUAAAAUUUGAUUUCUAUUUUAAGACGAUAUUGUAGUUCAUUACAUUUGUGUUUAUUUAUACAUAUAGUAUCCAAUUAAGUGUUCUGUUUGAGUGGUGUAACCUGUGGGAUAGUUAUUGCCCCUUUGUUUGACUAUUUGAAUCAUUUGUUGUGAAAUGUUUGGUUGUUUCUCCGUGGAUGAACUUGUACUUUUGUUGUUCAGUUCCAUAUUUGUAUGUGGAAUUUGGCUUGAGUUUAGUUGGGACAGAGUUUGUUCAUACAUGCCAGUACAAUUCAAAUGUACUGACGUCCGUUUUACCGGGGCCGCUACAUUCGUGUUAUGAUUGUAGGUCGAUCCGUGGUAGGCACUCCAUCCCACCGUUCAUAGCUCCUCCUCCUAUCUAUCAGCGGUAUUCGUGUUUGGUGAGCCCAUUUCCUUCCGGGACCUUGUGCGGCUCAUGCCACCCAUGUUGUUGUAUUUUUUAGUCUUGUGUCCAUUUUGUAAAGGUAUAGCCGGGGCCUUGUUGCCGAUAUGUGUUGUAUUAUCUUUCUCUUAGAGGCUCUAUAGACACUGGUAUGUGGUUAGAACUUACGUAUAAAGGUGUAUGUUUGGGGAAUUGUAAACUGGUACACUACAUUCCCUGUUAAUCAUAAUGUAUGUUUUGUAAAAGAUGUUCCCUGUUAAUCAUAAUGUGUUUUUAAGAAAGACAAAUCAUAUGUUCUGUCAAUUGCAAAUUUGGUAUAUUUUGGCUAACUAACAAAGAAUGAAGUGGGGUAGCGCAU
Molecule: long non-coding RNA, 1559 nt
Filed under: Nicotiana benthamiana
Lineage: Eukaryota; Viridiplantae; Streptophyta; Magnoliopsida; Solanales; Solanaceae
Description: long non-coding RNA (NBEN_LNC010340)
Source: RNAcentral